UAUGGUAAUUGCCAGCCGCCGCGGUAAUACGUAGGCGGCAAGCGUUGUCCGGAAUUAUUGGGCGUAAAGGGAGCGCAGGCGGGAAACUAAGCGGAUCUUAAAAGUGCGGGGCUCAACCCCGUGAUGGGGUCCGAACUGGUUUUCUUGAGUGCAGGAGAGGAAAGCGGAAUUCCCAGUGUAGCGGUGAAAUGCGUAGAUAUUGGGAAGAACACCAGUGGCGAAGGCGGCUUUCUGGACUGUAACUGACGCUGAGGCUCGAAAGCUAGGGUAGCGAACGGG
This 279-nucleotide ribosomal RNA is filed under the name Megamonas funiformis YIT 11815. RNAcentral describes it as "partial 16S ribosomal RNA". It matches the Rfam family "Bacterial small subunit ribosomal RNA", at positions 497 to 776 of the family's 1533-position model. Lineage: Bacteria; Bacillati; Bacillota; Negativicutes; Selenomonadales; Selenomonadaceae. The record is from RNAcentral.